AAAUGUUCCAAACUGGAAACGGAAAACUCAGAAUUGAGGCGUCAACUGACAGAGCAUUGCUCGAAGUCCAAGGAAAAUUCAUCAAAGGACAAAGAAAUUGAAGCAUUCUGGAGAUUUGAAGACGGACGAGAGGAAUGGUUGCCGGCCAAAUUGAUCCGAAAAUAUGCUAACGGAGAGUGUUCAGUCCAGUACUCUGAUGGAGUUAGUAGAGUGAGGUCCUCAUGGGUGAGAGAGGUGGGACAGAUGUAAGGUCAUCCUAUUGCCACAUCUAGAAGCUAUACCUAUUUUCUCAAGACUAAAAAUGUCGUGAACUUAAAAUAAAUGUUGUUAUCAAUAUAUGCAACCAGAGUACAUAUUAAGGCACUUCAUGUUAUUUUUCUGAAUGAUUGAAGUCAGGUUUCUCAUACUAAGACAUUUCCCUGUCAAGUUAUGGAAUUAACUUAAAUUUUAUGGUGUGAAAUUUCUGUUUUAUAAAAAAAUGCAUAGAUAAUUUUAAUCAAAUUGUGAGACUGAUAGCUUCAUUUUUUUUUAUCAAAUCAUGCAAAUGAUUGCCCUUUUUAUACGCCCGUAUAAAAUACGGGACGUAUUAUGUGAAACCCCUUGGCGGCGGGCGGCGGGCGGCGGGCGGAAGGCAUCACUUUGUCCGGACUCUAAUUCAAAUUGUAUUCAUCCGAUCUUCACCAAACUUGGUCAGCAGUUGCAUCUAGUUGAUAUCUAGGCCAAGUUCGAAUAUGGGUCAUGCCGGGUCAAAAACUAGGUCAUAGGGUCAAUAAGUGCAUUUUCAAAGGGGCCACUUUGUCCGGACUCUAUUUCAAAUUGUAUUCAUCCGAUCUUCACCAAACUUGGUCAGCAGUUGCAUCUAGUUGAUAUAUAGGCCAAGUUCGAAUAUGGGUCAUGCCGGGUCAAAAACUAGGUCAUAGGGUCAAUUAGUGCAUUUUCAACGGCGCCACUUUGUCCGGACUCUAAUUCAAAUUGUAUUCAUCCGAUCUUCACCAAACUUGGUCAGUAGUUGCAUCUAGUUGAUAUCUAGGUCAAGUUCGAAUAUGGGUCAUGCCGGGUCAAAAACUAGGUCACAAGGUUACUUAGUGCAUUUCAAGCAUUUAGCAUGGUGUCCGCUCUCUAAUUGAAGUAGUUUGCAUCUGAUCAUCACCUAAUUUGGUCAGAAGUUGAGUCUAGAUGAUAUGUAGAUCAAAUUCGAAUAUGGGUCAUGCCGGGUCAAAAACGAGGUCACGAUCGGACACAUAAUGAAUUUCAAGCAUUUAGCAUGGUGCCCGCUCUCUAAUUGAAGUAGUUUUCAUUUGAUCUUCACCAAAUUUAGUCAGAUGUUACAUCUAAAUGAUAUCUAGGUCAAGUUCAAAUAUGGGUCAUGCCGGGUCAAUAACUAGGUCUCGAGGUCACUUAGUGCAUUUCAAGCAUUAAGCAUGGUGUCCAAAACCUCCGAACGGGCGUAUCUUGUGACAGUUUGGCACUCUUGUUUUGAAGUAAAAAAAAACAACAUGAAUUUUACAUCACACUGAUGAUCAUAUUUCAAGUGUAAGCAUUAUUCUACAUCUUUUUCUUCAGUUUAAUGUUGGAAUUGAAUAUUCCCUAAUCAACAAUUUGAUUCUCUUUACUGCACUUUUGUUUAUGUGCAUUAUCCAAAGAAUGUUUGAAUUCCAUUUUGAAAUGCUUGAUGAGAACUUGUCUUUUCACUUAGGUAUAUGCUUUUUUCAUUAUUGGUUUUGUUCAGUGGUGGUGGUCAUAUUCUUCUUAUGUCAUUUCGGUCAGUAGAAUAUGGGACUUGUAUAUAACAGUUUAUAUGUUAGAAUGGUUUAUGAGAUUAUUUUAAAUAAAACUAUUUUUGAAUUUCUUUCGCUAUAUAAACAAAAGUUAAUUAAAGAGAUUUCACGUUUCUUACUGUUGCAAUCAAUUUAAUAUCUUAAAAUAACCUGAGAUCUUUUGGGAAACUAGACAGAAAAUAAGUUCUAAUGGUGAACAAUUCGUAUUCAGUCAGCCUUUGUAAGCCAUUGUAACUGUGAAUGUGUUCAUGUGCAUUAUUCUAACAUUUUUUCGAUUUCGGUUUAGAAAUGCUUUGUAUGAACUUGUCUUCAUUUUAAUAUGCUGAAUUAAAAUUGAUUUUGUUAAUUUGUGAUUACCAAUGUUUUAUUUUGUAUGUCCUAUAUGAUGUUUGAGUAUUUCAGAGAAACAAUAAAGUUCUGCCCUUACAAUACAUACUAAAAUUGUGACAGAAUUGUUUAGUAAUGAAAAUACAAAUUGCAGCAAUUGCACCUGUUAAAGAACUUUGAAUGGUUAUACAUGUAAUAGCGGUAAAGAUUGUUUUAUUUAAAUAUUUAAUUUUUCAUAAUGACUUCACAUGUUAAAAAAAAAUGUUUAGCAUUUUUUAAUACUAGUAUAUUUUGAGAACUAAUUUAAGUGUGACAUAAAUAAUAUGGAAUCAUUCCCACUAUUUAAUAUAUAUUUUCUGACCUGCUGACUGGUGGAUUGAGUACAUAUUAGUAUACUGGUAUUGUUUUUUAUUUUGAAAAUUUCACUGAUUGAAAAUUUACACAACAUUUUGUGUGUUCUGUAUUUACUAUGCCCCCCUUCGAAGAAGAGGGGGUAUAUUGCUUUGCACAUGUCGGUCUGUCGGUCGGUUUGUCCAUCAGGUGGUUUCCAGAUGAUAACUCAAGAACGCUUGGGCCUAUGAUCAUGAAACUUCAUAGGUACAUUGAUCAUGACUCGCAGAUGACCCCCAUUGAUUUUGAGGUCACUAGAUCAAAGGUCAAGAUCACGGUGACCUGAAAUAGUAAAAUGGUUUCCGUAUGGUAACUCAAGAACGCUUAGGCCUAGGAUCAUGAAACUUGAUAUGUAGAUUGAUCAUAACUCGCAGAUGACCCCUAUUAAUAUGCAGGUCACUAGGUCAUAGGUCAAGGUCACAGUGACCCGAAAUAGUAAAAUGGUUUCCGGAUGAUAACUCAAGAACGCUUAUGCCUAGGAACAUUGAAACUUCGUAGGUAGAUUGAUAAUGGCUGGCAGAUGACCCCUAUUGAUUUUCAGGUCACUAGGUCAAAGGUCAAGGUCACGGUGACCCGAAAUAGGAAAAUGGUUUCCGUAUGAUAACUCAAGAACGCUUAUGCCUAGGAUCAUGAAACUUGAUAGGUAGAUUGAUCAUGACUCGCAGUUGACCCUUAUUGAUUUUCAGGUCACUAUAUCAAAGGUCAAGGUCACGGGGACCUGAAAUAGUAAAAUGGUUUCCGGAUGAUAACUCAAGAACGCUAAUGGCUACGAUCAUGAAACUUCAUAGGUACAUUGAUCAUGACUUGCAGAUGACCCCUAUUGAUUUUGAGGUCAAAGGUCAAGGUCAUGGUGACCCGAAAUAGUAAAAUGGUUUCCGGAUGAUAACUCAAGAAGGCUUAUGCCUAGGAUCAUGAAACUUCAUAGGUGCACUGAUCAUGACUCGCAGAUGACCCCGUUCGAUUUUGAGGUCACUUGGUCAAAGGUCAAGUUCACGGUGACCCGAAAUAGUAAAAUGUUUUUCGGAUGAUAACUGAAGAACGCUUAUUCCUAGGAACAUGAAACUUGAUAGGUAGAUUGAUCAUGACUUGCAGAUGACCCCUACUGAUUCUCAGGCCACUAGGUCAAAGGUCAAUUUCACGGUGACCCGAAAUAGUAAAAUGGUGUCCGGAUGAUAAAUCAAGAACGCUUAUGGCUAGGAUCAUGAAACUUCAUAAGUACAUUGAUCAUGACUUGCAAAUGACCCCUAUUGAUUUUCAGGUCACUAGGUCAAAGGUCAAGGUCACAGUUACAAAAAACAUAUUCACACAAUGGCUGUCACUACAACGGAGAGCCCAUAUGGGGGGCAUGCAUGUUUUACAAACAGCCCUUGUUAUGACUUGUUUUAUAAUUUGCUAAUAAUUUAAGAACUUAUACAUUUAAAAGUGGUUUACCUUCCUUUUUUUCAGUGUGAUUUUUUCUGUGUGAUUAUGCAUUUCUGGAAGUUUGUACCGCCGGCGUAACAUUUUUAAACAAUUAUCUGUCAUUGUGUUUAUGAUCCUCUGAGAGUUUGUACCGCCAGCGUAACAUUUUCAAAGAAUUAUCUGUUGUGAUUAUGAACCUUUGGGAGGUUGUACCGCCAGCGUAACAUUUUCAGUUAAAUUUUAAGGGUUAUAUCAUUUUGUGUGUUCUGUAUUUACAUUACUUGUAUAAUUUACUAUUAAAUUAAGAACUUAAACAUUUAAAAGUGGUUUGUGCGAUUUUUACUAUUGGUACCUUAGGGAGUUUUGUACCGCCGGCGUAACAUUUUCAAGAAUUAUCUGUUGUUAUUAUGAUCCUCUGAGAGUUUGUACCGCCAGCGUAACAUUUUCAAAGAAUUAUCUGUUGUGAUUAUGAACCUAAGAACUUAAACAUUUAAAAGUGGUUUAUCUUCCUUUUUUUCAGUGUGAUUUUUUCUGUGUGAUUAUGCAUUUUUGGAAGUUUGUACCGCCGGCGUAACAUUUUUAAACAAUUAUCUGUCAUUGUGUACUUUUUGAGAGUUUGUACCGCCAGCGUAACAUUUUCAAAGAAUUAUCUGUUGUGAUUAUGAACAUUUAUGAGGUUGUACCGCCAGCGUAACAUUUUCAGUUACAUUUUAAGGGUUAUAUCAUUGUGUGUGUUCUGUACUUACAUUACUUGUAUAAUUUACUAUUAAAUUAAGAACUUAAACAUUUAAAA
Dreissena polymorpha is the source of this 4689-nucleotide long non-coding RNA. RefSeq lists it as uncharacterized. The transcript has 3 exons. Lineage: Eukaryota; Metazoa; Mollusca; Bivalvia; Myida; Dreissenidae. The record is from RefSeq and is a predicted model, not a curated record.